This 392-nucleotide ribosomal RNA is filed under the name uncultured bacterium. RNAcentral's name for it is "bacterial SSU rRNA". It matches the Rfam family "Bacterial small subunit ribosomal RNA", at positions 29 to 420 of the family's 1533-position model. The record is from RNAcentral.
AUUGAACGCUGGCGGCAUGCCUUACACAUGCAAGUCGAACGGCAGCACGGGAGCUUGCUCCUGGUGGCGAGUGGCGAACGGGUGAGUAAUGCAUCGGAACGUGCCCUGAAGUGGGGGAUAACGUAGCGAAAGUUACGCUAAUACCGCAUAUUCUGUGAGCAGGAAAGCAGGGGAUCGCAAGACCUUGCGCUCUGGGAGCGGCCGAUGUCGGAUUAGCUAGUUGGUGGGGUAAAGGCCUACCAAGGCGACGAUCCGUAGCGGGUCUGAGAGGAUGAUCCGCCACACUGGGACUGAGACACGGCCCAGACUCCUACGGGAGGCAGCAGUGGGGAAUUUUGGACAAUGGGCGGAAGCCUGAUCCAGCCAUGCCGCGUGAGUGAAGAAGGCCUCGG